Molecule: transfer RNA, 73 nt
Filed under: Takifugu rubripes (torafugu)
Lineage: Eukaryota; Metazoa; Chordata; Actinopteri; Tetraodontiformes; Tetraodontidae
Rfam family: tRNA
About the family: Transfer RNA (tRNA) molecules are approximately 80 nucleotides in length. Their secondary structure includes four short double-helical elements and three loops (D, anti-codon, and T loops).
Source: Rfam by way of RNAcentral
AUUUCCAUAGCGUAGUGGUUAUCACGUCUGCCUAACACGCAGAAGUUCCCAGUUUCGAAAACGGGUGGAAACA